UAACAACUGAUGAGUGGUACCUACUAUAGCUAGGCAAGGUAUCAUCUGCACAAUGGAGGUUUUACACCAUGACAAUCUUAUCUGUGUUGAAAAUCUUUUAACAUCUGUAUAAUAAUGUAAAAGUACAUAGUCAAACAUAUGAUGCUAGCAGAGCCUGAGGUUAUUGUGGUCAAGAAGCAAUACUUAUCAUAAGGACCCACAUAGGGUAGCAUGAAAAUGUUUUCAGCACAUAGAUGAACAAAAAAAGAAUGCUUGUCAGAACUUGAAAGAAACUGUGGUGAUUUGGGAACUGAGCUGUAGACAAUUAAAUGAUUUUUUAUUCAGUUUACAUAUUAGUUGGAAGUUGUGCAAUGAGUUAAGUUGUUUAUAGAUCAGCGAAGAACAUUAUAGAAGUUGUCUUCACCAGCUGGCAUGGUUUUGAAAAAAAAAUGAUUAACAGACAAAAAGAACAACAAUUAGCUAGAGAACUCAUGUUAUAAAUAUAAGCCAAGAAUUCGACAUGCUUGCACCUGUACAAUACAAUGGGUUGGUCAAGUAUGGCUCUUGACUAGAAAAAAAGAUAUCUUGCAUACUGUAUUAUUUUUAGUUGAUGAAUAGAGUUCUCUAUUGCCUGCAUGACCAUCAGACCAUAUGAUGUCUACCAUUUCUUUUAAAAAAAUUCCAGAAAUUUUCCUCUCCUGAGCCAUUUAAUCAGAUGGUUGGAGUUGUCAUAUUCAAAUAUAGAAAUAAGCAGUCAGAUAUACUAUAUACUGGGAUUUCCUGUUAACUAGCAAAAUAGAAGCACUUUAGCUGAUCUAACAUCAUGGGUCAGGUAUUUUGGGAUGGAGCUGAACUUGCAAUAGCAUUAGCAAAAUGAAAACCUUAGCAUGUUGAAUGAUAGCAGAUAAGAAACUUGUAUUUCUUGCAAUUGGCUCUAGAUGUUGAUAAGAAAUGCCCAUGUGCAAUAUCUUGAAAGCUUGGAUUUGAAUCCAGAAAGCUUAGGUUGAUCUUAUGUUCUUACCCCUGUUUUUUUCCUAAUCAGCAUGUUUAUUACCUUAGUACCCUAGCCACUGCCAAAAGUUUUUACCUUGAUCCACUAUUGGCAGCUACCAUUGAAAUUUCUAAAACCUAUACACAUAUUUGUUUUAGAAUUUAAGCUUGUGCAAGAGUAUAUGUUUAUGUCACUGAAGUAUGAGCUAUUGCAAUAAUUAUUUCUUCAUAUGACAGGGUAAGGCUAAAGAUGAAAAGAAUCAAUGACUAGGACAAUGGGAAAAUGUGAACUCAUGCCAUCUUUGCAAAGUAGAAAAGCUCUUUUUUGAGCCUCCACCUACUUUGAGCCAACAACAGUGUGCUAUGAAACAUAUUGGCCUAAAUAAUCUGUAAAUCGGAAUUUGAACAUGGGACCAUUGUAGACCUAGGCAUACAUUCUCUAAUUCAUAAGUGGUCGAUUAUACAAUAGUAGAAAAACUACAAACACAUGUUUGUUUAGAGAGGCUGGCAUACCAAAAAAUGUCAGAGUCAUAAUGACUGGACCAAAUGUUGGUGAACACCAAUCAUAAAUUUAGAGAGGAUGGUGUAAGUUUGUUUUGGUUGCGCCAGUGCAGACCUUUUGGUCAAACCCUCAGGCUUGCAGCUCUAAAGAAGCCAUGUACUACUAAAUGUGGAUAUAUCACACUUCUUAGCAAAAACAAAGAAGCCAAUGUAAUAAACUAUUUUAGAUCUUCAAUCUUGACACUACAUGAGCAAUGUUCUAAAAUUUUUUUCUUCAUGCCAACCAGACGAUCAACCUGAAUUAUUAAUGUUUUUCUCUGAAGGCGUAGGAAUUAGAAGUUGAAAGAAGGAAAUGACAUUUACCUUAUGUAUUUGUGUCUUCCUACCUGCACCCAUGUGAAAGGAGUAUAUUUUUCUCAUGGUCUGCAACUCUGCAAUUAAGCUAUUAUUCAUAAGGUUACCU
This 1933-nucleotide long non-coding RNA is filed under the name Sorghum bicolor (sorghum). Its description in RNAcentral is "long non-coding RNA (SBIC_LNC007496)". The record is from RNAcentral. Lineage: Eukaryota; Viridiplantae; Streptophyta; Magnoliopsida; Poales; Poaceae.